This 353-nucleotide ribosomal RNA is filed under the name Eukaryota sp. RNAcentral describes it as "SSU rRNA". It matches the Rfam family "Eukaryotic small subunit ribosomal RNA", at positions 1325 to 1699 of the family's 1831-position model. The record is from RNAcentral.
GCGUUAACGAACGAGACCUUAACCUGCUAAAUAGCCAGGUCGGCUUUUGCUGAUCGCCGGCUUCUUAGAGGGACUGUCAGUGUCUAACUGACGGAAGUUUGAGGCAAUAACAGGUCUGUGAUGCCCUUAGAUGUUCUGGGCCGCACGCGCGCUACACUGACAGAGCCAGCGAGUUCUUUUCCUUGGCCGGAAGGUCUGGGUAAUCUUUUGAAACUUGAUCGUGCUGGGGAUAGUCCAUUGCAAUUAUUGGACUUCAACGAGGAAUUCCUAGUAAGCGUGAGUCAUCAGCUCGCGUUGAUUACGUCCCUGCCCUUUGUACACACCGCCCGUCGCUAAUACCGAUUGAAUGGCUA